This 665-nucleotide ribosomal RNA is filed under the name Cladosporium variabile. RNAcentral's name for it is "partial large subunit ribosomal RNA". It matches the Rfam family "Eukaryotic large subunit ribosomal RNA", at positions 38 to 729 of the family's 3401-position model. Lineage: Eukaryota; Fungi; Ascomycota; Dothideomycetes; Cladosporiales; Cladosporiaceae. The record is from RNAcentral.
GCAUAUCAAUAAGCGGAGGAAAAGAAACCACAGGGAUGCUCUAGUAACGGCGAGUGAAGCAGCAAUAGCUCAAUUUGAAAUCUGGCGUCUUCGACGUCCGAGUUGUAAUUUGUAGAGGAUGCUUCUGAGUGGCCACCGACCUAAGUUCCUUGGAACAGGACGUCAUAGAGGGUGAGAAUCCCGUAUGCGGUCGGAAAGGCGCUCUAUACGUAGCUCCUUCGACGAGUCGAGUUGUUUGGGAAUGCAGCUCUAAAUGGGAGGUAAAUUUCUUCUAAAGCUAAAUAUUGGCCAGAGACCGAUAGCGCACAAGUAGAGUGAUCGAAAGAUGAAAAGCACUUUGGAAAGAGAGUUAAAAAGCACGUGAAAUUGUUAAAAGGGAAGGGAUUGCAACCAGACUUGCUCGCGGUGUUCCGCCGGUCUUCUGACCGGUCUACUCGCCGCGUUGCAGGCCAGCAUCGUCUGGUGCCGCUGGAUAAGACUUGAGGAAUGUAGCUCCUCGGGAGUGUUAUAGCCUCUUGUGAUGCAGCGAGCGCCGGGCGAGGUCCGCGCUUCGGCUAGGAUGCUGGCGUAAUGGUCGUAAUCCGCCCGUCUUGAAACACGGACCAAGGAGUCUAACAUCUAUGCGAGUGUUCGGGUGUCAAACCCCUACGCGUAAUGAAAGUGAA